Molecule: ribosomal RNA, 476 nt
Filed under: uncultured bacterium
Lineage: Bacteria
Description: bacterial SSU rRNA
Rfam family: Bacterial small subunit ribosomal RNA
Source: RNAcentral
GACGAACGCUGGCGGCGUGCCUAACACAUGCAAGUCAACUUGAAGGAAGGAGCAAUCUGACCUGAUGGUGCGCAAGGGUGCGUAACGCGUAAGUAACUUGCCCAAGGUAAGGAAUAACGUCGAGAAAUCGGCGCUAAUACCUCAUAAUGCAGCGGAUCCGCAUGGAUAUGUUGUUAAAGGUUUACCGCCUUGGGAUAGGCUUGCGUCUGAUUAGCUAGUUGGUGUGGUAAUGGCACACCAAGGCUACGAUCAGUAACUGGUCUGAGAGGAUGAUCAGUCACACUGGAACUGAGACACGGUCCAGACUCCUACGGGAGGCAGCAGUGAGGAAUAUUGGGCAAUGCACGAAAGUGUGACCCAGCAACGCCGCGUGGAGGAUGAAGGUAUUCUAUAUCGUAAACUCCUGUGAGAGCAGACGAAAGACAGAUUAUAAUUUGGAUGACUGUAUGCUCAGAGGAAGCCCCGGCUAACUACGU